This 315-nucleotide ribosomal RNA is filed under the name Triticum aestivum (bread wheat). RNAcentral describes it as "partial small subunit ribosomal RNA". Lineage: Eukaryota; Viridiplantae; Streptophyta; Magnoliopsida; Poales; Poaceae. The record is from RNAcentral.
AUGGGAUUCAAGGAUAAAUAUGACAUCUGGAACACCAUAAAGCUCUUCCAUCUACUCCCAAAUUGCAUCACACUCUUGGGCAUUGACACUGAGCCUCGUGAUGAGAAGACAUAUAGAUCUUCCUCAAGUACCAGUAGGAAGACAAUCUGCAUGUCAAAGAACUCCCGGAAUAAAAUUGCCAUACAAUCAACAAAGUGGAUGGCAUAUCAGAAAUGCCUGGGUCAGGUUUGCCACGAGGCAAUGCACAGUGUGAAAUAUAUGAUCUUACAUAUCUAUAAAAUCUGGAAAAAUACAUGUAUCCACUUCAAAUUCUGA